This 452-nucleotide ribosomal RNA is filed under the name uncultured bacterium. Its description in RNAcentral is "bacterial SSU rRNA". It matches the Rfam family "Bacterial small subunit ribosomal RNA", at positions 340 to 786 of the family's 1533-position model. The record is from RNAcentral.
UACGGGAGGCGCAGUGGGGAAUAUUGCACAAUGGGCGCAAGCCUGAUGCAGCCAUGCCGCGUGUAUGAAGAAGGCCUUCGGGUUGUAAAGUACUUUCAGUCGUGAGGAAGGUGUUAAGGUUAAUAACCUUAGCAAUUGACGUUAGCGACAGAAGAAGCACCGGCUAACUCCGUGCCAGCAGCCGCGGUAAUACGGAGGGUGCGAGCGUUAAUCGGAAUUACUGGGCGUAAAGGGCACGCAGGCGGUUAAUUAAGUUGGAUGUGAAAUCCCCGGGCUUAACCUGGGAAUGGCAUUCAAGACUGGUUAGCUAGAGUCUUGUAGAGGGGGUAGAAUUCCAUGUGUAGCGGUGAAAUGCGUAGAGAUGUGGAGGAAUACCGGUGGCGAAGGCGGCCCCUGGACAAAGACUGACGCUCAUGUGCGAAAGCGUGGGGAGCAAACAGGGAUUAGAUACC